GACGAACGCUGGCGGCGUGCUUAACACAUGCAAGUCGAACGAAGAGCGAUGGAAGCUUGCUUCUAUCAAUCUUAGUGGCGAACGGGUGAGUAACGCGUAAUCAACCUGCCCUUCAGAGGGGGACAACAGUUGGAAACGACUGCUAAUACCGCAUACGAUCUAAUCUCGGCAUCGAGGAUAGAUGAAAGGUGGCCUCUACAUGUAAGCUAUCACUGAAGGAGGGGAUUGCGUCUGAUUAGCUAGUUGGAGGGGUAACGGCCCACCAAGGCGAUGAUCAGUAGCCGGUCUGAGAGGAUGAACGGCCACAUUGGGACUGAGACACGGCCCAGAUUCCUACGGGAGGCAGCAGUGGGGAAUCUUCCGCAAUGGACGAAAGUCUGACGGAGCAACGCCGCGUGAGUGAUGACGGCCUUCGGGUUGUAAAGCUCUGUUAAUCGGGACGAAAGGCCUUCUUGCGAAUAGUGAGAAGGAUUGACGGUACCGGAAGAGAAAGCCACGGCUAACUACGUG
Molecule: ribosomal RNA, 510 nt
Filed under: uncultured bacterium
Lineage: Bacteria
Description: partial 16S ribosomal RNA
Rfam family: Bacterial small subunit ribosomal RNA
Source: RNAcentral